This 462-nucleotide ribosomal RNA is filed under the name uncultured bacterium. RNAcentral's name for it is "partial 16S ribosomal RNA". It matches the Rfam family "Bacterial small subunit ribosomal RNA", at positions 28 to 507 of the family's 1533-position model. The record is from RNAcentral.
GAUGAACGCUGACAGAAUGCUUAACACAUGCAAGUCUUUGGCGAAGCUGUGCUUGCACAGCCUAGCCAAGGCGGACGGGUGAGUAACGCGUAAGGAACUUGCCCUGCAGUCAGGGAUAACAGACGGAAACGACUGAUAAGACCUGGUAAAGUCAGGCGGACUCAUGUCCAGCCUGAUGAAAAGAGAUGCUGCAGGAGAGCCUUGCGUCCUAUUAGCUUGUUGGUGGGGUAACGGCCCACCAAGGCGAUGAUAGGUAGCCGGCCUGAGAGGGUGGACGGCCACAGGGGGACGGGGUUACGGCCCUAACUCCACCGGAGGGAAGCGUUGGGAAAUAUGGGACAAUGGGGCAACCCUGAUCCAGCAAUUCUGUGUGCACGAUGAAGGUUUUCGGAUUGUAAAGUGCUUUCAGCAGGGAAGAAAAAAAUGACGGUACCUGCAGAAGAAGCGACGGCUAAAUACGUG